Molecule: long non-coding RNA, 2698 nt
Organism: Musca domestica (house fly)
Lineage: Eukaryota; Metazoa; Arthropoda; Insecta; Diptera; Muscidae
Exons: 3
Source: RefSeq, a predicted model, not a curated record
CGUUUUGUGUGUUGUCUUUUUGUUGCCGCUAUCGCCGCUGCUGCCGCCGAGGCUUGCUUGAUUCUUUAGGUUGUGAGUGUGUGUGUGUGUGUGUGCAUGGCUGGGAACAUGUUUUUGUGCUCAAGUAUCUGUGUGUGGUGUUUAGUUUUCGUCGCUGCUGCCGCUGUUGUUGUUGUUGGUUUUGCUAUUAUUUUUCGUCGAUUCGCCUUUGAGCGUUAUACACAACGUCGUUGCCAGAGAUACACUUUACGCUUACACACCACGUUCAGAUUCAUUCUGUAAUCGCGAUUCCUCGAGGACGUAGCAUUAACGUAAACACGUCGGCUGUAUUGUUCGCAUUGUAUAACGCGCGCUUUGAAACCAGCCAACAGCCAUCAUACUCUUGUUACAACAGCAACAACAACAACAACAAUCUCCUUUAUAUUAUUAUUCUAUCUUCUCGGCAACAAAACGAAAAAGAAGAACAACAUCCAACCAAACCCCUGGAAAAUGUAAUAAUUACGCGACAAAAAAAAAGAAAAAAAAAACAAAACAUAAUGAUUUGUAUUAAGGCGAAGAAAUGAAAACAAGUGAGCAAAAACAAAAAAAAAAGAAAUACAAUAACAGGAAGGAAAUCCCAACACCAACAACAUUGAACAGUGUCAACAACAUUGAAUUGUGAAUUGGCCGUGUAAUGAAUAAGAAUAACAAAUCAACGACAUUCGAAUUUUUAUUUUAGAUUUUUGUUGUGAAAUAGUAAAUUAAAUAAAAAAAUAAUAUUAAACAUAUUUUAUUACAAAAAAAAAACAACUCAAACAACAACUUCAACAACAACAAAAACAUGUGCAAUCUAUUUUUAAAAUAUCCAUAUGGGAAACUAAGUUUUCAAAUUUAGUCCAAUAAAUAAUGAAAUUACAAAAAUAAACGAGGAAACAACAAACUUAAAACUCGAAUAAAGAAAGCUAGCUUUAGAAAAGACAACAACAACAACAAACGUGACAACAAUUGGAAUAAAAAAAUAGAAAAGAAGUCCUAAAUGUAAGUUUAAUGCUUGGUAAUUAUUAUUCAACAAAAAAUAUUUUCAACAAAAAAUACUUGAAGAGCCGCAAGAAAAAAAAUGAACGAACCGAAGCGCACGUUACAAACUGUUGAAAUUACGGGUAAGCCAUUGACAUUCAUAGAAAUGGGUUAAGACAACAAAAACCGCUUAAUUAAGACAAAUUAUGUUAAAAACGUUUCUACUCAAUACCCACCGCAAAAAAAAUAACAAUAAAAUAUGCUCUUUCAUAAACAAAAAGAAAGAGAGAAGAAGAAGAAAAAAAAACAGCAUAACAAAUUAUGAUUCAUCUAAUUCAAGUCUUGAAUUAACAAUGUACCUACCCGCCGACAACAGCAACAACAAAAAGAACCUUUUGAGUUAUGUAUUUAUAUAUGCGAAUUUGUACUCCAAGUUAAUCUUUAUUUCUUGUGUUUAUUUUGUUGUUGCUUGUUUUGUUUUGUUCCGCAUUUAUUUUUAAACGAAAUUCUUCGGUAAUUCAUCAAAAGUUCAUUGCUCUUUUUUUGUGUGUGUGUAUUUUUUGACUUUUUUGUUAGUUUAUUUUUUUCAUGGAAUCCAAACUUUGUGAAUCUUUUUGUUAGGGUGUGUGGGGUAUUGUUUGUCGGGGAGUAUUGCAAAUAAAUAAUGUAAUUAUCAUGAAAUUAAUAUUUAAUUUAUUUGGAAUUUCAAAUACAUUGUGAGUUUUUUAGCAGUACUCGCUAAAACCUAAUCAUUUCACAAAUUUUUAAAUUUAAUUGAAUAGAAAUAUAUUACCCAAUAAAGUGAAUUAUUUUUCUUUCUCUGUUUUCUCUCCUUUAUUAUAACAUCAUGUGCGGCGAUUAUUGUUGAUUUAAUUAAAGACUCUUUUUGUGUUAAUUAAACUUAUGUCUUAUGCGAUUCAAGAAAGAAAAUAAAACCCCACAUUUAAUGUUCAGCUGUUUAUUUUAAGUAUAUUCUUCCCAUACACACACACACACACACAUGGGAGUCUCCCCUAACCAUCCUCUAUCGGCCAACCUAGACUUCAAUGUCUAUAUGUAAGGGAACGUUAGUUAAGCAUAUAUGCCGCCACCACCGCCGAGUGGUUCUCAUAUCCACUUGGAUAUAAUGAACGUUUGCUUGAACGACAUAGCCGUUGGUAUUCUUGCGAUGCGCUCGUUUACAAUACUCCUCCUUUGCUUCCUCUCUCCUCUCCUUUGCCUUCUUCCCUGUUCGUACUUCAUGGUCACCCAAAAAGCAUUUUCUUUCCAUGCUUGAGAGUUGUUGAUUUACGAUUUUUAUAUUUUCUCAUUUUACUUGGAUUUCUUCUUUGGUUUGUUGUUGUUUUUCCUGUGCACGUCUUGUUGUUUGGUUAAUUAUUUAAAGUGGCAUACAAUGUCUUGGAAGAAUAAAGAUUUUCAACAUUUCUCUCUUCUUGCCAUUUUACAUCUUUGCAUCUCACAUGCAGCUAUUUUUUUUUUUUUUUUGGUCGUUUGUAUGCGGCUGAUUGGGGAAUAUCUGGGAUGUUGAGGUACCAGAAAAUUGCAGGUGGUCUUUUUCGGAAUAAUAAUAGGCAGUCAUUGUUAUUGUGAAAAAUGACAUGGAAAGCCUGUGAAGUAUAUGUUUAAUGCAGGGGGUGGGCAUCAAAUAAAUGUUGGAAAUUAUAAAUGGAAUUAAAAAAUGUAAAUAUGUUUUUUUAUUAAA